UACGAAGGGUGCAAGCGUUACUCGGAAUUACUGGGCGUAAAGGGUGCGUAGGUGGUUUGUUAAGUCUGCUGUGAAAUCCCCGGGCUCAACCUGGGAAUGGCAGUGGAUACUGGCAAGCUAGAGUGCGGUAGAGGGUAGUGGAAUUCCCGGUGUAGCAGUGAAAUGCGUAGGGAUCGGGAGGAACACCAGUGGCGAAGGCGGCUACCUGGACCAGCACUGACACUGAAGCACGAAAGCGUGGGGAGCAAACAGG
Molecule: ribosomal RNA, 253 nt
Filed under: uncultured bacterium
Lineage: Bacteria
Description: partial 16S ribosomal RNA
Rfam family: Bacterial small subunit ribosomal RNA
Source: RNAcentral